Molecule: ribosomal RNA, 522 nt
Filed under: uncultured bacterium
Lineage: Bacteria
Description: partial 16S ribosomal RNA
Rfam family: Bacterial small subunit ribosomal RNA
Source: RNAcentral
UGGGGAAUUUUGGACAAUGGGCGAAAGCCUGAUCCAGCAAUGCCGCGUGUGUGAAGAAGGCCUUCGGGUUGUAAAGCACUUUUGUCCGGAAAGAAAUCCUUGGCUCUAAUACAGUCGGGGGAUGACGGUACCGGAAGAAUAAGCACCGGCUAACUACGUGCCAGCAGCCGCGGUAAUACGUAGGGUGCAAGCGUUAAUCGGAAUUACUGGGCGUAAAGCGUGCGCAGGCGGUUUGCUAAGACCGAUGUGAAAUCCCCGGGCUAACCUGGGAACUGCAUUGGUGACUGGCAGGCUAGAGUAUGGCAGAGGGGGGUAGAAUUCCACGUGUAGCAGUGAAAUGCGUAGAGAUGUGGAGGAAUACCGAUGGCGAAGGCAGCCCCCUGGGCCAAUACUGACGCUCAUGCACGAAAGCGUGGGGAGCAAACAGGAUUAGAUACCCUGGUAGUCCACGCCCUAAACGAUGUCAACUAGUUGUUGGGGAUUCAUUUCCUUAGUAACGUAGCUAACGCGUGAAGUUGACCG